Molecule: long non-coding RNA, 3034 nt
Organism: Puntigrus tetrazona (Sumatra barb)
Lineage: Eukaryota; Metazoa; Chordata; Actinopteri; Cypriniformes; Cyprinidae
Exons: 4
Source: RefSeq, a predicted model, not a curated record
AGUCACUUAAAAACUGUCUUGAAAAGCUUUUGUGUUUUAACAACCCAGUGCGCCUGCGCACUUUUAUCCUCUAGAUGGCGCCAUUGCGCCUCAAAAAAAGCAUCACGCCAACUCUGACAAAAAAAAAAUAUAUAUUGUCAAAAGUGUAGUCUAUUGUAAUUCAUUUAGGAACAAAAAGUUGUAUUUAUAUAUAGCUAACACCUUAUAUGUGACUGCUUGAUUUUUAUGCCGAAUACUGAAAAUACACAAAAAGACACAAGUCUGAAUAGUGACCAAAAUAUUAAAAUAACUACGAGGCUAUUAGGUAACUUUGCAAAUAAUCUCUGCCUGAAAUGUGUUUUUCUCUCUCACUCCUCUUUCCCUGGCUUUACGCAAAUAACACUUCGCAGCUUGCAGCGCGCGCGCUCUCUCGCGCGCUCGGCGCAAACAACAACACUUGUUCGUGCGCGCGGCAGCCUGCUUGAUAUGCACGCUCACAGCCGCAUGCUAGGCCAUCGCUUUCUGCCAGCCUUGUGAUUAAUUAACAUCCAGUUCGUAACCCCCCAAAUUAGCGCCGGAGCACACGGGCUAAUGAGCUCACUGUGAUCCCGUAGGUUACAAUAACUCCAUCAGACCCAGCUCAGAGACCGCGCGUCGGACUACAGUUGCGCGCAAAAGUUGUAACAAUUGUAGGCUGACUUACAAUUAAAUAGGUCAGACCAAGGCUGCUCGUCGCUCUUUUGCUCUCGUUAAAGUCGGUUACUGUAUAGUGUCAAAAAAAGCUAUCGAACAUUUCCGUCAUUGUUGGACGGAAGAAAAAAAAAUUCAAUGAGCACAUGUUGAUCUUUCGUCGACGAUAGCGGGGCAUGUUGUCACACUGCAUGAGGACCGGCGCAGGGCGGGCAGGAGGCUUUCGACGAAGACAUUGGCACCCAGACGGAGCCUCAGGACUUAACGACGAGCUCUUUGGCUGACUUUCGCUACAAGGAGCCGACAACACCAGCUUUCCUUCCAACGCAGUGUUUACACAGUUACAUAUGUCUGGACUCACAAGAGCGCUAGAGGGUUGUUGCCUGUCGUGGCCCGCGCUGCAUCGCGAAGACAAGAGGAGCACGGCGCAACAUGACAGAUGGGUUGGCCCACCUCUCUGAGGACAGUGUAAUGUGGACCUGUCUGUGCCUGACAGGACGGCAGAGAUCAAACGACAUUGUGGAAGGUGAAGAGCCUUUCCUUUCGCCAGCUUCGCUGUGUGACACGUGGCAGAAGAGGCCAGUUGCAGCCUGACUGACCAGGGAGUCAAACUGCUUACUAACCUGUUUAGUAUACAAAACGCUAGCACCGAAUGCUGGCAGAGUGGAAGUAAGUGCUAAAACCCUGUCUACACCAACAUCUGUCCACCAUCAUCAUCAUUUGAUCAUCUCAUAUUACUGUUAGGGGAGACUGGGGACAAAUGUAAUAUUUUAGUAAACAGAAAGUAGUAGUAAUCAGUGUGCUAUAUUUCAGUAAGACACAUUUAUAAGUCCCAACAGUACUAAUUCUAUUAUAAUAGAAACAAGCAGGAAAACAACACAUUAUUAAAUUAAUUGAAUCUUAAAAGUAAUUAUAUUAAAGGGUGUAUCAGUAACACAACAAUGCAUCAAUGAUAUAUGCUAUAUUGUACUAUAAUACACAUUUAUAUGUACAUUGACAAGUUCUCACUGUGAUAUUAUGAUUAUAACAUUUGCAUUUAAAAAAUAUAAAUGUUAAAGGGCGAUUUUGUAAAAAAUGUGACACAAUAUUUGAUCAUUUACCGAAUUUAAUUACCUUUAUGGUCUUAAGUCUUUUAACUGUCAUGAAUCAUUUGAUUUAAAGCAAAAGUCUAAGUGGUACUUAGACUACUUUAUUAUUAUGCUAAAUGGGUUAAAUCCUUUUUAACUAAAAUAUAUUUUUCAGCUAUGAAGUCAAGGACAGUCUUUAACUAGCUACUUUAAUGAAAUAAUGUUCAUUUUAAAUUAUAAAGGUUCAUUCUUUGUGGUCAUACAAUUUUAAUUUCAUAACUAGUGUUACAAAACCCACACAGUUAUGAUAAAAUCCUGUAUGAUUUUAGUACCUGCAAGCAACAUUAGUAUGUGUAAUUAACUAGCAACCAAGAGAUUACAUAUUAUAUUUUAAAAUGUCUAUAUUUGAAAUUCAAGGCAUUAAAACUGAUUAAAUAAAGUGUGGGAAAACAUAAUGAACAUCCCAAAGAUUUUUUUGGAAAUUUCUCUUAAAAUGAUAUGUUCGGCUUGUUUUCCAGGCAGAGAGAGAGAGAGUUAAACUAGUCAUAUUUCUACCUUGUUUAUAUUAUUAAGUGUGUUUCAAUUGUCCCGUAACAAUUUGCGCAAAAUUACAGAAUGAAUAUUACGGUACACAAAAAAGUCGUUCUCAUUUUAUAACAUUAUUUUACGUUCACGCACAAUCACGCAAUAAAUCUAGCGGAAAGUAACUAGACGGAAAAGAAAACUUUAGACAUUUCUGUUGACGUGAACUUUGAUCAAGACAGAAGCCCGUUCCAGACAAACUUCAGCCUCCCACCGUCUGCCAGCAUCUGAUUAUAACCAGCACGGAUGCAUGUGACCCAAAGCUAUAGCGCAGCGCCACAACCCAAUUUCACCGCUUUCUGAGCACACAUCAAGAGCGAUUCAUCACUGUCGUACUUGCAGACAUCUCUCCCAAAAGCCCGACCCCUUUUGUGUUUUUAUCUGCCGUGAACCUGCAAAGUGAGCAGCGCCGAACAAUGUAAUGGGUGUCAACCGGUGGCAAUGCCUGAGUUCAGCCUCUGCUCAGCAUCAAUUAUUGUUCCAACACCGUGAUGCUUUCCAGAGUCAGCAGCGACUACCCCCAUCUUUGAUCAUCUCGCUACAUACGAUUAUCAAAGGUGUAUAAAUCAGGUCUGUGUUUCCAUAAGAUGCAAAGGAGAAAAAAAAACGAUCUGUAACCAUUUCACAAUGAUUCGAAAUAGAAAACAUAAUCAGUUCUAUCACACUAAAAUGUGCGCGGCUUCUACCAAUAAUGCGCCGCAUAUGAGAUAUCGCAG